GAAACCCACCACCCUAACUCACAUUCGGAACCUGGGGCCCCCAUGUGCGCGCGCUCCACUGACGCCACCCCCAGAAAGGAUCAUGGAGAGGAGGCCACGUGCUCAGCUGAGAUGGGAACCGACCUAGUCCCGGUUCACUGGCUGGUGGAAACUCAGGCAAGAGAAGGAAUGAUUAAGGGAACAUGCAGGAGGAACAGCAAUGAGACAUCAUCGUAAUUCCGGUGAGGCCACCUCAUUCUGGUCUCUGCUCAGAUGUCCCUUCCCUGACCACACCAGCCCCCACCUCUCCCUCCCUGCCUCUCACCUGCUUCCUUUCCUGCUGGUGUACCCGGCCAUCUGAUGAUGGCAUGUACACCUUUGUUUAAUGGAAGAUCCAGGAGAGCGGGGCUCGGCUUUGCUCACUGCCAUGUCCCCAGCGUCUAGGGAAGUUGGCUGCAUUAACUGAACACUUGCUCUGUGCCAGGCACUGUAUCAUGCAUGUGCUUUAAAUGCGUUAAGUAAUCUUAGCCUUACUGUGGUCCUGUGAGGGUUUUUACCCAAGUAGAAAAAUGACGCCCAGAGAAGUUAAGAAUCUUGCCCAAGGACAUAGGAUUUGACCCUGGCCCUCUGUGCUCCUACACAUGCCCUGGAUCGCCAACCAUGGUGACUUGGCCCUUUCCUCCACCCUCGCACAGCCUCUGCUGGGGGGACUACCCCGCUCCUUCUGCCCUUGCUGAGUUCCCUGUGCCAGUCUCAGGAAUGCUGAACCAAACCCCUGGACCCUGAGCACCCCCAACCAGCCUGGCCUUUGGACGAGAAGAGGAGCAUUCAUACUGAAGGGAUCCAGAAUCUCUCACUGUGAGUGGUUUUUCCCGUACUCCCAGUAUCUAAAAGCAGAGUCUCCUGGAAGGAUUCAGCUGUCACCAGUCUCCUCCUCAGGAGAUGGGCUCUUUCCACUGGAGAGAAAUCUGCUUCGGAGUAAGAAAUCACAUAAGCAGGUAUUGUCACAAGACUACCAUAUUUCCUAUCUAUUUUCCUAAGGGCCUAUUUAUCUUUCCUAAAAGCCAUUUGAUGGGACACCUGGGUGGCUCAGUCGGUUAAGCAUCUGACUCAUGGCUUCACCUCAGGUCAUGAUCUCAUGGUUUUGUGAGUUUGAGCCCCCUCGUCGGGCUCUG
Molecule: long non-coding RNA, 1154 nt
Filed under: Lynx pardinus (Iberian lynx)
Lineage: Eukaryota; Metazoa; Chordata; Mammalia; Carnivora; Felidae
Source: RNAcentral